This 778-nucleotide ribosomal RNA is filed under the name uncultured Neocallimastigales. RNAcentral's name for it is "partial large subunit ribosomal RNA". It matches the Rfam family "Eukaryotic large subunit ribosomal RNA", at positions 24 to 611 of the family's 3401-position model. The record is from RNAcentral. Lineage: Eukaryota; Fungi; Neocallimastigomycota; Neocallimastigomycetes; Neocallimastigales.
ACGACUACAUAUCAGGCAUAUCAAUAAGCGGAGGAAAAGAAACUAACAAGGAUUCCCUUAGUAACGGCGAGUGAAGCGGGAAGAGCUCAAAUUUGAAAUCUUCAAGGGUUUACCUUUACGAAUUGUAGUUUAAAGAAGUGUUUUCUGUUGGAGUUUCGGUAAAAGUUCUUUGGAAUAGGACAUCAUAGAGGGUGAGAAUCCCGUAUUUGACCGUUACUUUUCAGCUGUGUGAUACACUUUCAAAGAGUCGGAUUGUUUGGGAAUGCAGUCCAAGAUGGGUGGUAAAUUUCAUCUAAAGCUAAAUAUUGGCGAGAGACCGAUAGCGAACAAGUACCGUGAGGGAAAGAUGAAAAGAACUUUGAAAAGGAGAGUUAAACAGUACGUGAAAUUGUCAAAAGGGAAGCGUUUGACACCAGUGUUGUUUUCUCGAAAAUCAAUUAAAAAUAGAUUUGAUUUUGUGUUGUAUUGACCUUAAAAGCUUUCUUCACUCUUUUCAUGUUUAUUUUUAAUGCACUUUUCGUUUAACAAGUCAACAUCAGUUUCUUUUGUUGUAAAAAGGUCAUUGGAAGGUGGCUUUCUUUUCGGAGAAAGUGUUUAUAGCCUUUGACUCCUGCAAUCGGAGAGACUGAGGUCUGCAGCGUAGAUCCUUCUUGGAUUAGAUUCAUUUGUGCUAAGUUAUAGCUUUUCAUAGACAACUUGUUGACUAUGUUUAGUCUUGUAGCUUACUCGCUUAUGUAAUUUUACCUACGCUUAGGAUGUUGAACGCGCACAGAGUCUC